Molecule: ribosomal RNA, 321 nt
Filed under: uncultured bacterium
Lineage: Bacteria
Description: bacterial SSU rRNA
Rfam family: Bacterial small subunit ribosomal RNA
Source: RNAcentral
AAACUGGGAGUAAUACCGUAUGUGCCCGUUCGGGGGAAAGAUUUAUCGGCAAAGGAUCGGCCCGCGUUGGAUUAGGUAGUUGGUGGGGUAAUGGCCUACCAAGCCGACGAUCCCAUAGCUGGUUUGAGAGGAUGAUCAGCCACACUGGGACUGAGACACGGCCCAGACUCCUACGGGAGGCAGCAGUGGGGAAUCUUAGACAAUGGGCGCAAGCCUGAUCUAGCCAUGCCGCGUGAGCGAUGAAGGCCUUAGGGUUGUAAAGCUCUUUCAGUGGGGAAGAUAAUGACUGUACCCACAGAAGAAGCCCCGGCUAACUCCGUG